Molecule: transfer RNA, 119 nt
Filed under: Gammaproteobacteria bacterium
Lineage: Bacteria; Pseudomonadati; Pseudomonadota; Gammaproteobacteria
Also listed under: 1 other name
Description: tRNA-OTHER
Rfam family: tRNA
About the family: Transfer RNA (tRNA) molecules are approximately 80 nucleotides in length. Their secondary structure includes four short double-helical elements and three loops (D, anti-codon, and T loops). Further hydrogen bonds mediate the characteristic L-shaped molecular structure. tRNAs have two regions of fundamental functional importance: the anti-codon, which is responsible for specific mRNA codon recognition, and the 3' end, to which the tRNAs corresponding amino acid is attached (by aminoacyl-tRNA synthetases). tRNAs cope with the degeneracy of the genetic code in two manners: having more than one tRNA (with a specific anti-codon) for a particular amino acid; and 'wobble' base-pairing, i.e. permitting non-standard base-pairing at the 3rd anti-codon position.
Source: RNAcentral
GGGCCCGUUGCCCAGUCCGGAUUAAGGCGCCGAAUUGCCGAACAAGUGAUGCGUAAGCCUCCGGACCUCAGGUGAGAGAGAGCCGGAGAUCCUGGGUUCAAAUCCCAGCGGGCCCGCCA